This 653-nucleotide long non-coding RNA is filed under the name Centruroides sculpturatus (bark scorpion). RNAcentral's name for it is "uncharacterized LOC111616519". Lineage: Eukaryota; Metazoa; Arthropoda; Arachnida; Scorpiones; Buthidae. The record is from RNAcentral.
AUCUUGUUUUGUCUGACUUAUAAAAUUUUGUUCGUUCAUAAAAUUUAUCGAUCAGCUUCGAUUAAAGUUUGUCAUUUUUCACUAAUUUCAUUGAGGAAUCCACAAAUUUAAUAAAAAGUGAGUGUACGUGACUUCAUUUUCGAAACACUGUCGGGCGCAAGUACUAACGUCCAUGCUCCCUGUGGCUAUUAAGCGCACGUUGAAGGAUUUAGGGACAAAAUAAUGCACUGCGUGCGCCGUAAGCAAAUUGAGAUCUAUAACUUAACAAAACACAAAAACAAUGCAAUCGACGUCGAGCGAACGUAGGAAUCUCCUGUUCGGAGAAAAGGUGAAUAAAAUGCGCGGUAGGUGACGGUCAAGAAAGUCUGGAAUUGGAACAAGUGGAUGAGUAUCUAAAAAGAACUAAGGAGUCGAUGCAAUGAAAAUGUGAGGAAAUGUGAUAGAAAACGCAGAUUUGAAGCAAAAGAUGUGCAUCUGGAAAGGAAGGUCUGCAUAAGGAUAUAUCUGUAUCUACUUUUCUGCCAGCAUUACAAUAUUUUUCCUUUUUAUAUGUUGACAAACUCUUUAAAUCUUAACAUGAGUUCAGCCAGGCAAACAAUAGAAAAACUGAAUGAUGACGGGACACGAAAUAUCCGAGGUUAUCGACCUGCCUG